AUGUCCAGUACUCCAGUUCUUGCCCUUCCUGACUACAGUAAGCCUUUUGCUAUUGAAACUGACGCCUCUGACAGUGGCAUUGGUGCAGUACUGUCUCAAAACGACCACCCAAUUGCUUAUCUUAGUCAAGCCUUGGGUGUUGUCAACAAGAAGUUAUCAGUUUAUGAGAAAGAAUUUCUUGCGGUUAUUAUGGCUAUUGACAAAUGGCGAAAACACCUUCAGAGGGGCCCUUUUGCUAUAGUGACUGACCAUAGAAGUCUCUGUCAUUUACAAGAGCAACAACUGACCUCUGAUCUGCAGCAUAAAGCAAUGGCAAAAAUGGCGGGUUUACAGUUUCACUUCAAAUACAGAAAAGGCUCAGAAAACAGUGUUGCAGAUGCUCUCUGUCCCGGGUGA
Molecule: ribosomal RNA, 396 nt
Filed under: Triticum aestivum (bread wheat)
Lineage: Eukaryota; Viridiplantae; Streptophyta; Magnoliopsida; Poales; Poaceae
Description: partial small subunit ribosomal RNA
Source: RNAcentral